RNAcentral lists this long non-coding RNA (281 nucleotides) under Pan troglodytes (chimpanzee). RNAcentral's name for it is "lncRNA (ENSPTRG00000053638.1)". The record is from RNAcentral. Lineage: Eukaryota; Metazoa; Chordata; Mammalia; Primates; Hominidae.
CUCUUCUUGCCAUGUACCCACAUGAUUGAGUGUGGGCUGAGGGUGAAUCCAAGAAGGGCUUUGUUUUGUGGUCAGUACAGGCUUUGGUCCACAGAGACAACAAUACUUUCAAUACUCUUUUGUUCUGCCCCAGGGGAGCUCAACACAGAAUUGCCUAGAACAAGAAACUGGAAUUGUACAUGGCGAUCAUCAGCAGUAUGAAGAGGAGCUGUGGGGCCAGGGAUGAUCCUUCCAAAAGCAUCCUAUCUAGAUUCUGCUGUUAAAUCACCUUUGUUGGCCUG